ACUUAACAAGAUUUGAGAUGGCAAGGUACACUUGAUUAUUAACUGCAUAGAGGACAAAGUAAGUCAGAUGUGUCAGGGAGACCCUCCAGCUGAGUCCCAAGGUUCAGAGUGGACCCCCUUGCUUUCUGAACUCCUCAGAUGGAAGAAUAAAGGAGCUUAGGUGCAGCUAAAUCCACUCCUAGUCCCAGACUUGGUCAUUGGUUUAUGUUUAAGGAUUGUACGUGCACAAUCAAUCUAAGAUAUAAUCUGAGUGAAGCUCACAGAGUUUAGCAAGCUAUUAAUCACUUACUGAGGAUCUGCUGAGGAUCUGCUGAUCUUUUGAUGAGUAUGGGACUUCUGCAGCAGGUGUGACCUUGAGAGGAAGCCUGACUCAAGGGGAGAGCCGGCUGUUCAUCCCAAGACUGUGCAGAAGAGCUCCAGGGGCUCAUGGCCUGCUCACUAUUUAUGGGUCCUAGGAGCUCUGUCAAGAAGUCUAUGAAGGAAUCUUCAGAACGGAAGCUACUGGAGAUAACCACUGAGAAAUGGUGCAUUGCAAGUACAUAUUUGGCAGAAUGGCAGAAGCUAUAGAACACUUUCUUCCUAAUUGCUCAGAUAACAUAAUGCAAUUCAAGAUGGAUUAUAAGGCUAUAAAAUAAAAAGCAUGAUCCUUAAACUGGAAAAUAAUUU
RNAcentral lists this long non-coding RNA (666 nucleotides) under Anas platyrhynchos platyrhynchos (common mallard). RNAcentral describes it as "lncRNA (ENSAPLG00000024580.1)". Lineage: Eukaryota; Metazoa; Chordata; Aves; Anseriformes; Anatidae. The record is from RNAcentral.